GGGAGAUUGCUGCUCCAUUAAGUUGUCUUAGCCGAUAACUUUCUGGCUUAAUGACUUCCUCCACUUGGUAUGGGCCCUCCCUAUUUGGGGCCAAUUUACCUCGCUCUCCUGGUUGGGAUACUUCCGUCUUGCAUAGCACUAGAUCGUCAACUUUGAAGAUCUUGUUUCAGACUUUGGUAUUGUAAUACCAGACAACCUUUUGUUGAUAAGCUGCCAUUCGAAUGUACGUCUUUUUUCUGGCUUCUUCGAG
Molecule: long non-coding RNA, 250 nt
Filed under: Elaeis guineensis (African oil palm)
Lineage: Eukaryota; Viridiplantae; Streptophyta; Magnoliopsida; Arecales; Arecaceae
Description: long non-coding RNA (EGUI_LNC027692)
Source: RNAcentral